Molecule: transfer RNA, 59 nt
Filed under: Escherichia coli
Lineage: Bacteria; Pseudomonadati; Pseudomonadota; Gammaproteobacteria; Enterobacterales; Enterobacteriaceae
Also listed under: 1 other name
Description: tRNA-Arg
Rfam family: tRNA
About the family: Transfer RNA (tRNA) molecules are approximately 80 nucleotides in length. Their secondary structure includes four short double-helical elements and three loops (D, anti-codon, and T loops).
Source: RNAcentral
AGCUCAGCCGGACAGAGCAAUUGCCUUCUAAGCAAUCGGUCACUGGUUCGAAUACAGUA